This 1036-nucleotide ribosomal RNA is filed under the name uncultured archaeon. RNAcentral describes it as "bacterial SSU rRNA". It matches the Rfam family "Archaeal small subunit ribosomal RNA", at positions 315 to 1354 of the family's 1478-position model. The record is from RNAcentral.
UCCAGGCCCUACGGGGCGCAGCAGUCGCGAAAACUUCACACUGCGGGAACCCGUGAUGAGGGAACCCCGAGUGCCCAGGCAUUAGUCUGGGCUGUUCUCCUGUCUAAAAAACAGGUGAAGUAAGGGCUGGGUAAGACCGGUGCCAGCCGCCGCGGUAAUACCGGCAGCCCAAGUGGUGACCCUUUUUAUUGAGCCUAAAACGUCCGUAGCCGGUUCGGCAAAUCUCUGGGCAAAUCGGGCAGCUUAACUGUUCGACUUCCAGAGAGACUACCGGACUAGGGACCGGGAGAGGUCAGAGGUACGUCGGGGGUAGGGGUAAAAUCCUUUAAUCCUCGACGGACCACCGGUGGCGAAGGCGUCUGACUAGAACGGAUCCGACGGUAAGGGACGAAGGCUAGGGGCGCAAACCGGAUUAGAUACCCGGGUAGUCCUAGCUGUAAACGCUGCAGGCUUGGUGUUGGAGCUCCUUCGAGGGGUUUCAGUGCCGUAGCGAAGGUGUUAAGCCUGCUGCUUGGGGAGUACGGUCGCAAGACUGAAACUUAAAGGAAUUGGCGGGAGAGCACAGCAACGGGAGGAGCGUGCGGUUUAAUUGGAUUCAACGCCGGAAAACUCACCAGGGGCGACUGUUACGUGAAGGCCAGGCUGAUGACCUUGCCUGAUUUUCAGAGAGGUGGUGCAUGGCCGCCGUCAGUUCGUACCGUGAGGCGUUCUCUUAAGUGAGAUAACGAACGAGACCCUCGCCCCUAUUUGCCAUCCAUCUCUCCGGAGGUGGAGCACUAUAGGGGGACCGCUGGCGCUAAGUCAGAGGAAGGAGAGGUCAACGGUAGGUCAGUAUGCCCCGAAUCUCCUGGGCCACACGCGCGCUACAAAGGACAGGACAAUGGGCUGCAACACCGAGAGGUGAAGCCAAUCCCGAAACCUGUUCGUAGUCCGGACUGAGGGUUGUAACUCACCCUCACGAAGCUGGAUUCCGUAGUAAUCGCGGGUCAACAUCCCGCGGUGAAUGUGCCCCUGCUCUUUGCACACACCGCCCGUC